Molecule: ribosomal RNA, 75 nt
Filed under: Scrippsiella hangoei
Lineage: Eukaryota; Dinophyceae; Peridiniales; Peridiniaceae
Description: partial 5.8S ribosomal RNA
Source: RNAcentral
CGGCACUUGAGGAGCACUUGCGCUCGCUCUUCCGCCUCAUCGUCCACCACGGCCACGAUCUGAAGCCCGGCGCUG